ACGGGUGAGUAACACGUGGUCAACCUUCCCUACAGUGGGGAUAACUAGCCGAAAGGUUAGCUAAUACCGCAUAACAUCUACGAGCGGCAUCGCAUGUAGAUCAAAGGAGCAAUCCGCUGAAGGACGGGACCGCGUCCCAUUAGUUAGUUGGUGGGGUAAUGGCCUACCAAGACUCCGAUGGGUAGCUGGUUUGAGAGAGCGACCAGCCACACUGGGACUGAGAAACGGCCCAG
Molecule: ribosomal RNA, 233 nt
Filed under: uncultured bacterium
Lineage: Bacteria
Description: partial 16S ribosomal RNA
Rfam family: Bacterial small subunit ribosomal RNA
Source: RNAcentral